This 402-nucleotide ribosomal RNA is filed under the name uncultured bacterium. RNAcentral's name for it is "bacterial SSU rRNA". It matches the Rfam family "Bacterial small subunit ribosomal RNA", at positions 917 to 1322 of the family's 1533-position model. The record is from RNAcentral.
GGGCCCGCACAAGCGGUGGAGCAUGUGGUUUAAUUCGAUGAUACGCGAGGAACCUUACCAGGGCUUAAAUGUAGGUUGCAUAAGCUAGAGAUAGCUUUUUCUUCGGACUACUUACAAGGUGCUGCAUGGUUGUCGUCAGCUCGUGCCGUGAGGUGUCAGGUUAAGUCCUAUAACGAGCGCAACCCCUGUUGUUAGUUGCCAUCGAGUAAUGUCGGGAACUCUAACAAGACUGCCAGUGCAAACUGCGAGGAAGGUGGGGAUGACGUCAAAUCAUCACGGCCCUUAUGGGCUGGGCUACACACGUGCUACAAUGGCAGUGACAGAGGGACGCUACCAGGUGACUGGAUGCAAAUCUCAAAAAGCUGUCUCAGUUCGGAUUGUUGUCUGCAACUCGACAACAUG